GGGCCUAUAGCUCAGAUGGUUAGAGCGCGCGCCUGAUAAGCGCGAGGU
Molecule: transfer RNA, 48 nt
Filed under: Nitrospiraceae bacterium
Lineage: Bacteria; Pseudomonadati; Nitrospirota; Nitrospiria; Nitrospirales; Nitrospiraceae
Description: tRNA-Ile
Rfam family: tRNA
About the family: Transfer RNA (tRNA) molecules are approximately 80 nucleotides in length. Their secondary structure includes four short double-helical elements and three loops (D, anti-codon, and T loops). Further hydrogen bonds mediate the characteristic L-shaped molecular structure. tRNAs have two regions of fundamental functional importance: the anti-codon, which is responsible for specific mRNA codon recognition, and the 3' end, to which the tRNAs corresponding amino acid is attached (by aminoacyl-tRNA synthetases). tRNAs cope with the degeneracy of the genetic code in two manners: having more than one tRNA (with a specific anti-codon) for a particular amino acid; and 'wobble' base-pairing, i.e. permitting non-standard base-pairing at the 3rd anti-codon position.
Source: RNAcentral